UCGAGCGGACCGACGGGAGCUUGCUCCCUUAGGUCAGCGGCGGACGGGUGAGUAACACGUGGGUAACCUGCCUGUAAGACUGGGAUAACUCCGGGAAACCGGGGCUAAUACCGGAUGCUUGAUUGAACCGCAUGGUUCAAUCAUAAAAGGUGGCUUUUAGCUACGACUUACAGAUGGACCCGCGGCGCAUUAGCUAGUUGGUGAGGUAACGGCUCACCAAGGCGACGAUGCGUAGCCGACCUGAGAGGGUGAUCGGCCACACUGGGACUGAGACACGGCCCAGACUCCUACGGGAGGCAGCAGUAGGGAAUCUUCCGCAAUGGACGAAAGUCUGACGGAGCAACGCCGCGUGAGUGAUGAAGGUUUUCGGAUCGUAAAACUCUGUUGUUAGGGAAGAACAAGUACCGUUCGAAUAGGGCGGCACCUUGACGGUACCUAACCAGAAAGCCACGGCUAACUACGUGCCAGCAGCCGCGGUAAUACGUAGGUGGCAAGCGUUGUCCGGAAUUAUUGGGCGUAAAGCGCGCGCAGGCGGUUUCUUAAGUCUGAUGUGAAAGCCCCCGGCUCAACCGGGGAGGGUCAUUGGAAACUGGGGAACUUGAGUGCAGAAGAGGAGAGUGGAAUUCCACGUGUAGCGGUGAAAUGCGUAGAGAUGUGGAGGAACACCAGUGGCGAAGGCGACUCUCUGGUCUGUAACUGACGCUGAGGCGCGAAAGCGUGGGGAGCGAACAGGAUUAGAUACCCUGGUAGUCCACGCCGUAAACGAUGAGUGCUAAGUGUUAGAGGGUUUCCGCCCUUUAGUGCUGCAGCAAACGCAUUAAGCACUCCGCCUGGGGAGUACGGUCGCAAGACUGAAACUCAAAGGAAUUGACGGGGGCCCGCACAAGCGGUGGAGCAUGUGGUUUAAUUCGAAGCAACGCGAAGAACCUUACCAGGUCUUGACAUCCUCUGACAACCCUAGAGAUAGGGCUUCCCCUUCGGGGGCAGAGUGACAGGUGGUGCAUGGUUGUCGUCAGCUCGUGUCGUGAAAUGUUGGGUUAAGUCCCGCAACGAGCGCAACCCUUGAUCUUAUUUGCCAGCAUUCAGUUGGGCACUCUAAGGUGACUGCCGGUGACAAACCGGAGGAAGGUGGGGAUGACGUCAAAUCAUCAUGCCCCUUAUGACCUGGGCUACACACGUGCUAC
This 1184-nucleotide ribosomal RNA is filed under the name Bacillus licheniformis. RNAcentral's name for it is "bacterial SSU rRNA". It matches the Rfam family "Bacterial small subunit ribosomal RNA", at positions 62 to 1228 of the family's 1533-position model. Lineage: Bacteria; Bacillati; Bacillota; Bacilli; Caryophanales; Bacillaceae. The record is from RNAcentral.